AUUGAACGCUGGCGGCAUGCCUUACACAUGCAAGUCGAACGGCAGCAUGGGUGCUUGCACCUGAUGGCGAGUGGCGAACGGGUGAGUAAUGCAUCGGAACGUACCCGGAAGUGGGGGAUAACGUAGCGAAAGUUACGCUAAUACCGCAUAUUCUGUGAGCAGGAAAGCGGGGGAUCGCAAGACCUCGCGCUUCCGGAGCGGCCGAUGUCGGAUUAGCUAGUUGGCGGGGUAAAGGCCCACCAAGGCAACGAUCCGUAGCGGGUCUGAGAGGAUGAUCCGCCACACUGGGACUGAGACACGGCCCAGACUCCUACGGGAGGCAGCAGUGGGGAAUUUUGGACAAUGGGCGCAAGCCUGAUCCAGCCAUGCCGCGUGAGUGAAGAAGGCCUUCGGUUGUAAGCUCUUCGGCUGGGAGAAAUACGCAUCUCCUAAUACGGGUGUGGAUGACGGUACCAGCAUAAGAAGCACCGGCGUAACUACGUGCCG
RNAcentral lists this ribosomal RNA (486 nucleotides) under uncultured bacterium. RNAcentral describes it as "bacterial SSU rRNA". It matches the Rfam family "Bacterial small subunit ribosomal RNA", at positions 30 to 510 of the family's 1533-position model. The record is from RNAcentral.